This is an RNA transcript of Nymphaea colorata (pocket water lily), 1302 nucleotides long. RefSeq lists it as uncharacterized. Lineage: Eukaryota; Viridiplantae; Streptophyta; Magnoliopsida; Nymphaeales; Nymphaeaceae. The transcript has 7 exons. The record is from RefSeq and is a predicted model, not a curated record.
UGACUGGUCUAACGCUAGGACCGGGAAGGAGUUUUCUGCUGGCCCGCUCUCCUGACCUCCUCCGCCCAAAGCUCAAUAUCCCGGUGAGGUUGCGCUUCACCCGCCAAAGCCAAAAUCCACAGCCUCUCUCUCUCUCUCUCUCUCUCUCUCUCUCUGAGAGAAGGACCUUCGUGACUCCGUCCCCUCUACCAGCUUCCUUCUUUGGGUGUUUCUCUCCUAAUUGCGAGAAGGACGCGACUUAGAACAUAGCUUCCGAGGCAGCAACAGCGAAGUGGUGGUUUUUAAAAUGCUCUCUCUUGCGUCACAAUCUCCUUGCUCUACUUUUGGCGGUGUCCCUCUAUCACCGUUUGGAAAUGUCUCCACCGCAUCCUUAUUUUGCAGCGUUCGCCUACAACCAAAAAUCUCUUGGCUACCACUUCAUAUUGAAGCGAGAGAAAGAGCUCGACAGGUGAGCCCAAAAGUCAGGAAUCGAAGGUUGCAAAGGAAGUUCAAUGGCACAUCCAGAAGACCACGGCUUUCUGUUUUCUGUUCUGGAAAGCAGUUGUACGCUGUGCUGGUUGAUGAUCAAAAUAAAAAAUGUUUAUUUUGUGGAAGCACCUUACAAAAGUCUAUGCGUGAGAGUCAUGACAAAGGCACUUGCAGCACCAUGGAAGCUGCGAAACGUGUUGGUGAAGAGCUUGUCAAGACGUGCAUCAGACAGAAAAUCCAUGAAAUUUCAUCCUAUGACCGCAAUGGUUUUUCUCGAGGAGAGCGAAUGAAAGCAUUUGAAUAUGCUGUUAUCAGACAUGGUUUUAUACCACCAUGGAAAAGUGAUGGUGACAUUCUGUUGCAGGAAAAGUGAUCAAUACUCACCAUAAACAUUGCCGUUUAUAUUCUGGGGGAGAUAGGAUUGCCAGCGAGGUCGUAUCUGAAGCCGGAAACUGAAUUCUGUAUUGGGUUCUUUCCCAUGUUUGCAGAAAAUGUAGAGAUGUUCCCUGGGGCCAGUGAUCUUAGAGCCAAGUAGAUUAUAUGAUGCGCCGGGCCUUUGCUCUUGUUCGGAACAGUCUGAAGUUGUGAAACCUAGGUUGUAGGCUUCGAGCCUUUCAGCCUGGUUUUCACCUAGGUGCCUAUCACUUGUGCUGGUUAUGCGCCUGUAUGAAAAUUGUUAAAAAAAAACCUGCGUUAUCGUGAUUGGGUAAUUUAAAUGCUUGAUUGUUCUAAAAUUAACAUUUAUAUAGAUUGGAUCUGUACUAUUAGAUACGCAAAACGACAUAAUUCUGAAACAUUUUCGUGGCCUCCACUUUAUUAUGCACGGUUCACAUU